GACGAACGCUGGCGGCGUGCUUAACACAUGCAAGUCGAACGAAGAGCGAUGGAAGCUUGCUUCUAUUAAUCUUAGUGGCGAACGGGUGAGUAACGCGUAAUCAACCUGCCCUUCAGAGGGGGACAACAGUUGGAAACGACUGCUAAUACCGCAUACGAUCCAAUCUCGGCAUCGAGACUGGAUGAAAGGUGGCCUCUAUUUAUAAGCUAUCACUGAAGGAGGGGAUUGCGUCUGAUUAGCUAGUUGGAGGGGUAACGGCCCACCAAGGCGAUGAUCAGUAGCCGGUCUGAGAGGAUGAACGGCCACAUUGGGACUGAGACACGGCCCAGACUCCUACGGGAGGCAGCAGUGGGGAAUCUUCCGCAAUGGACGAAAGUCUGACGGAGCAACGCCGCGUGAGUGAUGACGGCCUUCGGGUUGUAAAGCUCUGUUAAUCGGGACGAAGGUUCUUGUGCGAAUAGUGCGAGGAUUGACGGUACCG
This 481-nucleotide ribosomal RNA is filed under the name Veillonella atypica. RNAcentral's name for it is "bacterial SSU rRNA". It matches the Rfam family "Bacterial small subunit ribosomal RNA", at positions 28 to 480 of the family's 1533-position model. Lineage: Bacteria; Bacillati; Bacillota; Negativicutes; Veillonellales; Veillonellaceae. The record is from RNAcentral.